RNAcentral lists this long non-coding RNA (581 nucleotides) under Gallus gallus (chicken). Its description in RNAcentral is "long non-coding RNA NONGGAT004655". Lineage: Eukaryota; Metazoa; Chordata; Aves; Galliformes; Phasianidae. The record is from RNAcentral.
GAUGGAUCCCGUUGCGUGCUCCUGGGAAAGCCCUAAGGCAACACUCAAGACUGCAGUGCUGGUGAAGUCCUAGUCUGGCAGAGCCUGAGCACCAUGCCGUGUCUUGUCUCAAGGUCCAUGCAAUGCUGCACGACUUCUUUCCAACAUCUGAAGGAAUCUCCUUUCCCAGCUGCCUUCAAAUCAGUUUGGCUCAUCGUUUCAAGCAGCUGUUUGUUUCUCAGUGUCUGUGGAACUGCCCCAGGAAAGUUCUUAGCAGGGUUCUGGCAGGCAAACAUCAAAACUAUUAUUAGCAUGGCAACUCACAGAAAACAAAUCUACAUCUGUGUGCCUUGUGACACCACGGGGAGUCACUGUCACCUCGUGACUUCACAACGGUGUGGAUGGGUAUAUAUAUAGAUGGCUCAGGGUAUAGAUACCCAGAGCGUUCUGCCCUCUUCCGAGUCCUGCUGACAACUCUUGAGACAUCAGUGCCUUCCCUGCGUGGAACAUGAGAUGUCGAGGCCUUGCCAGCUGUACGUGAGACGUCAAGGUCCUGCAAGUGGAUUGCAAGUGACCAAGGAUCCUGCUCAAGGAACACCAGA